This 1171-nucleotide long non-coding RNA is filed under the name Mytilus galloprovincialis (Mediterranean mussel). The record is from RNAcentral. Lineage: Eukaryota; Metazoa; Mollusca; Bivalvia; Mytilida; Mytilidae.
UCAUCAUUUUUUUGUCGAGCCUGCAACUUUUGUUGCAGAAAGCUCGACAUAGGGAUAGUGAUCCGGCGGCGGCGGCUACGGCGGCUACGGCGGCGGCGGCGUUAGCUAACUUCUUAAAAGCUUUAUAUUUUAGAAGGUGGAAGACCUGGAUGCUUCAUACUUUGUAUAUAGAUGCCUCAUGUUACGAAGUUUCCGUCAGUCACAUGUCAAAUGUCCUUGACCUCAUUUUCAUGGUUCAGUGACCACUUGAAAAAAAAGUUAAGAUUUUUUGUAAUGUUGAAUUCUCUCUUAUUAUAAGUAAUAGGAUAAUUAUAUUUGGUAUGUGCGUACCUUGCAAGGUCCUCAUGCCUGUCAGACAGUUUUCACUUGACCUCGACCUCAUUUCAUGGAUCAGUGAACAAGGUUAAGUUUUGGUGGUCAAGUCCAUAUCUCAGAUACUAUAAGCAAUAGGGCUAGUAUAUUCGGUGUAUGGAAGGACUGUAAGGUGUACAUGUCCAACUGGCAGAUGUCAUCUGACCUUGACCUCAUUUUCAUGGUUCAGUGGUUAUAGUUAAGUUUUUGUGUUUUGGUCUGUUUUUCUCAUACUUAAUGCAAUACAUCUAUUAUAUUUGUUGUAUGGAAUGAUUGUAAAGUGUACAUGUCUAGCGGGCAGAUGUCAUCUGACCUUGACCUCAUUUUCAUGGUUCAAUGGUCAAAGUUAAGUUUUUGAGUUUUGGUCUUUUUAUCUAAUACGAUAUGCUAUAGGUCAACUAUAUUUGGUGUAUGGAAAUAUUUUAUGAUCUAUAUGUCAGUCGUGCAGGUUUUAUUUGACCUCGACCUCAUUUUCACGGUUCAUUGCUCAGUGUUAAGUUUUUGUGUUUUGGUCUAUUUUUCUUAAACUAUUAGUAAUAGGUCAACUAUAUUUGUUGUAUGGAAGCAUUGUUAGCUGUACAUGUCUGCUUGGCAUGGUUCAUCUGACCUUGACCUCAUUUUCAUAGUUCAUUGGUCUUUGUUUAGUUAUCUUGGUUAAUGUUAAGUUUAUGUGACAGUUUUUAAUAAAGCUUUAUACUUAGGACUAUCAACAUAAUGUCAAUGAUAAGUAAAGAAGGCGAGACAUUUCAGUGUGUGCACUCUUGUCUUAAAAUAAAACAGGUUGUACAUUCUACAUAAAAUAUGCUAGUCAACCGUAAAU